Molecule: ribosomal RNA, 328 nt
Filed under: uncultured eukaryote
Lineage: Eukaryota
Description: SSU rRNA
Rfam family: Eukaryotic small subunit ribosomal RNA
Source: RNAcentral
CCUUAGAUGUCCUGGGCCGCACGCGCGCUACACUGACACACGCAGCGAGUUUUCCUUGUCCGAAAGGUCUGGGUAAUCUUGUAAAUGUGUGUCGUGAUAGGGAUAGAUUAUUGCAAUUAUUAAUCUUGAACGAGGAAUUCCUAGUAAAUGCGGGUCAUCAGCUCGCGUUGAUUACGUCCCUGCCCUUUGUACACACCGCCCGUCGCACCUACCGAUUGGAUGAUUCGGUGAAACUUUCGGACUGUGAUCAAGACGCUCUCGGGCGACUCGGUCGCGGGAAGUUAUUUAAACCUCAUCAUCUAGAGGAAGGUGAAGUCGUAACAAGGUU